RNAcentral lists this long non-coding RNA (29179 nucleotides) under Capsicum annuum. Its description in RNAcentral is "long non-coding RNA (CANN_LNC000526)". Lineage: Eukaryota; Viridiplantae; Streptophyta; Magnoliopsida; Solanales; Solanaceae. The record is from RNAcentral.
AUUACCUAGUCAAGGAACUAGUCCCUUGACCAUUGGUGGAUUAAUAGAAGCCAUCAAUCAGUCAUGCUAAUUACAAAAAUUCAAGCUCGGGGUGUUAGAUUCUGCACUCCCUGCACAAGAUAAGGAUAUAAUAGAACAUCAAAAUUAUACAUUCUAAGUAGAUCACGAUCAAUGUCGAACUUGUUUGUGUUAGUUUUUCCCCUAAAAGGCGGCAUGAGAAUUCUGUCCUCUUACCUUCCAGGGGAUUUGUUCAACAUAUGAAAGCCAUUUAACUGACUUUAAUCCAUUCCUAAGUUAGCAAGAUCACAGUCGGCAGCCUGAUUAUACAAGUGGAUAGUGGCCAAUAGAAGUUACUACUAUCUACAGGGAGGAGAGAGCAAUAUGGGAAAUUCCAUUUGAUUAAGCAAAAAAAGAGGGUGAUUAUUUUGUAAGUCUCCUCUCAUUACUUAUAGAUCGAUAAAGCUCUUAAUCUUAGAACUAUUUCACGUUACCAUAAAACCUUUUUUGAAUUACAUAUGUGAUAUAGAUUGAAUGGAACACGACCAACCGUUACAUCUUUCUCAAACUAGUUUAAUAGUUGUUGAAGUUGUUCAUGGAAUUUUUAUGUUGGAUGAACAAUAAUGUCACGGCCCGACCAGAGGCCCUGUCCGCGACGGGCAUCUCGAACCACAACCCGCUAGUGAUAUUAUCUGCUCUGGGCCUAGGCCCGCACGGCUUUAAAGUAAGGUUUUCUCACUUAUAUACCCAGCAUCCCUCUUGUGUUUUGCCGAUGUGGAACUCCUUGUAUUACAAAUAAUUUUUGAUUGAGGAGGGAUUUCAUCAAGGCAUAGUGGUUAAAUUAUCCAUGGGAUCAUUAGAUUUGCCAAUUUUAAGAUCAAUUUUGCCUAAGUUCCUCUGCGUUAAGGGAUAUUGUCCCGUCAUGUUGCUAGUUCAAUAUGAUGAUUUUGUAGCUACAUUAUCAAGAGCAAUGAAUUAUUUCAGGCAAAGAUAUUCAAACUAGGGUUUUCCCCUAGAUAAACUGAGGAAACUUCACGUGCAGCAGUAUUGAUCUCGUUUCCAAAACUUCUGGACGAAUGUUUUUGCUAAGAGGUCUUAGCUUUCCAUUGCUUCGGCAGUAGGAAAACUUACGGUUGUGGACAAGUGAGGUCUAGUCCUAGCAUGACUAGGGAUGGGGGUGUCCUCGACGUACAAAACAAGCAUCCCGAUCUUAUUCAACUUUAAGCUAUGGACUUUUUACAGGCAUAAUCAUUGAGGAGUUUCGGGAGGUAGUGUUAUAUAAAAUUCCUCAACACUGCACCCAUUUUAAGUAUCAAAUUCAUAAUGAAAAGAAGUGCCUAUGUUAAGUGGAAAAAUGUGGUGGUUCAAAAAAGAAGAUGAUAUGGUGGUAAAGAUUGAGGAUGCUUCGGUUGAGAAAUUGCUGGAAGAAGCAACAACAAAAGAGAGACAACAUGACAGAGAUUCCAAUAGGUCGAGCAUUGGCAGGGUGUCAGAGAACCUAGCUAAAAGCUCACAGGCUGGAACAAGAUUUUGUUCUAGAUGUGUCCUAAUCUGAAUGGGAAUGAGGGUAGUCUAUCGGGUAAUAAUAAGAGGAAGUCCAUUCUAUUAGUGGCAAUAAAAAUCAGGUGGUUAUGGUUUGGCUGGCUUACGCAAACAAUCUGUUAGUCCUCGAAUUGGCAAAAAAAAUUAAUGUGACAACUGAACAAGGCUGAUACAAACCUUAGGAGAACUACACCCAAAAGCUAGCUAUUAAGAUGGGAGAGCCCAAGGCUAUAUAAGCCCCGCAUCAACUUCCCAUUUAACCGAUGUGGACUCAAGUCCCACACCUUGUAAUAGGAUCAUAUCAAACCACCACACUCCGCAUCUGUCGUUCUCGACGGCUUCACUCUAGGUAGCUUUUGUUAUAUUCCGAAUACGAAAUCUGUAUAUUACAAUAUAAACUUGGCGAAAUGGUCUCUUGGACAAUAGUACUUGUCCUGAUUUGUAAAAUAUACACUUCUACUUACACUUUUGUCAUCUGGACCUUUUAACCCACCAAAACAAAGUAUUUUAACACUUUUACCUAUCAAAACAUAAUAUUUUACACUCAUUUUUCAUCCAAUUAAUAUGAACGUAAUACACUCAUUUACAUGUGGCAUGCCACAUCAUUUUAAAUGACACAUAGAAAAUAAAUAUUCAAAAUAUAUAUAAAAUAUAAAUAAUACUUUAUAAAAAAAAAUACUCCCCCACCCCCGCCCCCCUCAUUCUUGUCUUCUUCCUACCAUCAUCAAUCCAACAAUGGAGAAUUCAAUUUAUCCAUAUUUCCUCAUAAAAAGAGCACAAAGUUCAUGCCAAGUAAGUAGAAUUUUUUUUCUAAUUUGACUUAGAAAUUUCAAUUAUAUGUUCAUAAAUACAAACUCCAAUAAAUUACAAUUAUAAUUUUGGAUUGAUUUCACAAAUUCACAAGACUCAUUUCCUAUUCUUCAAGGUUAUUUAAGCUUAUUAAUGAAGUUAUUCAAUACCCACCAUUAUACCCAUAUUCAUACUUCCUCUUUGAAUCCAACUAACACAAACAAUGAUUUGAACUUUUUCAAAAUUUAAAAUAUUAAAAAUUUAGAUAAAGAGGAGUACAUUUGGAUUAUUGAAAACAAAAUAAUUUUAUGAUUCUUCUUUUUGGAUUUUCGGUCAUCAAUUAAAGAGGAAGGGAGAGAGAAUUAGGGUGAAGAAGAUGAAGUAGAGAAGAAAGGAAGAGAGAGUUCGGGUUAGUGGGGUGAAGAAGAUCAAAUAGAUUUNNNNNNNNNNNNNNNNNNNNNNNNNNNNNNNNNNNNNNNNNNNNNNNNNNNNNNNNNNNNNNNNNNCAAUGAAGAAGAAAAGUUUUUUUUUAAUGUACACAAUUUUAUAAAAAAAAUUAUAGGCAAAUUUUUUGACACCACCACAAUGCGUUUUUCAAAAUCAUCAACUUAAUGUCACAUAUGCAAAAAUGGGUUUAAAAUAUUCACUUUUAAUAGGUUAAAGGAUCCAGAUGACAAAAGUGUAUGUAGAAGUGUCUACUUUACAAACCAGCACAAGUACAAGGGUCCAUCGAGCCAUUUCGCCUAUAAACUUCAACACUAAAUUUAAGAACUACAAUGAAGUUCCGACAAAUUCAUACACAAGUUCAAAUCAACUAUCAAAAUGAAGUUUGUCUCAACUUUAAGAAUUGAAGGUGAAAUGGAAAAAGAUAGAAUCAAGUCCACCGAAUUCACGGUGUAUCCUUAAGAAAUUUAUUCCCCUCAAGUACCCGAGGUUAAUUGAAUCUUUCUUCCCAGGAUAAAAUGAUUCCCUUCAGAAGAUAACGGUACCUCAAAUUUGUUGAAAUUUUGAACUCACUCAAUGAUUUAAUGAUCACACGAGAGUUUUUAGAACAAAAAAUAGAUGUUUUUUAACUCAAAAACGUACAUUUACCUGAAGAAAAGUUCAGGUAUUUAUUGCCAAAAGGUGUUGCUUCGGAAGGAAAGCAAUAGUUCACAAAAAGAGAACUUUCUGAAAUGUCAUUCCACCUACGCCUGGUCUGCAUUGGACCUACGGCCGCAGGUGAUAUUUUGCACAUUAUAGUGAGGUCUGCGCUACACCUGCGCCUGCAGGUCACAAGGUGCACACGCAAAUGACUUUUUCACCCGAAACAAUGUGUUUCUUGCAUCGAAGGAUCACAUCCCUUCGAGGUGCGUUGUGAUUGCGUUCGCACUGUGUCCGCAAAUGGAGAAAAAUAUUUCUAUUUGAUUUUUGGAGUAAAACUUCUCUUAUUUAAGUUUCAAAUAAAGUUUAUCCAAAAAAUUAAUCUCUCGAUCAUUUGAAAAAUUCAAAUUUAAAGUCGAAUCCCAUUGUGAAUCCAAAAUCGGCGAAGCCGAAGUCGAGCGAGCGACGACGACGACACGAGGCAUCUCUUGUUCUUGUCUCACCAUCCACACGAAAGAAUGCUUCUCAAUAUAAGCAUAAGAAAAUUUCUUUCUCCCACUAAUGUGAGAGAACUUUACUUCUUUAAAUUGAUAGUGCAGUUCACUUUUCCCUACUGUUCCCUUCAUUUUCUAUUCACAUAUUCACUUAGAAACAAACAAUCCCCUAUACGUGAAUGGAGAAUGACUGUCUUAUAAAAAAAUUUACGAACAAGUGUGUGAUCAACAAGUAAAGACUAAUUGCAUCUGAAUAAGUAGGUUUUUCUUUGAACUUUUCGUAGUGAAAUUGCAUCGAAAGCACUUGGUCAAUCGGUAGGUGUGAUAUCUUUGUACUGUUGAACUUUAAUGUACACCUAGACAACAUAAGUCAUACAACCAGCCUUUUACCGUUUAUGAUUCUCACAAUUUUAUUCGUUUCAGCCAUGAACACGACGUGGUUUCAUUAAAAUUUAGAGAAUAGGCCGUUACUAUCAUUCUCCUUAAAGCGGCUUCCACUUCACCCCUACAUAGGUGAUUUUUAAACGUUUAAUCCUUUAAAUCAAACUAUUUGGUCAAACCUACCAAACUUAGAAAUCAUCAAAAUGCUUUAAACCAUAAGUCUUAUCCUUGUUUUCUGAACAUUGUCUUCAUCAUGAGAAUGAGUUCAGUAUAUUGACAAUGUGGAACUAUCAGUCACAACUUUGUUUGAUCUCCUUGAACUUAGAUCUUGGAAUCUCUAUUCUGCUAGGUAGAGUUACUGCCACGAUGAAUUGUCCUAGGCCUUAAACCUAUAUUCUUCGAUCAUCUCUCAACUCUCUCUCUAAAUAGACUUUUUGUAAGUGGAUCCGACACAGUAUCCUUUGACUUCACAUAGUCAAUCGUGAUAAUUCUACUAGAGAGUAGUUCUCUAAAGGUAUUAUAUCUCCACCUUAUAUGGCGAGAUUUACUAUUGUGAAUCAUGCUCCGUGCCCUAUCUAUUACCAUUUGACUAUCAUAAUGUAUACAUACAGGAACCAAAUGUUUGGGCCAAUAAGAAAUAUCUUCCAAAAACUUUCGGAGUCAUUCAGCUUCUUCAUCAACUUUAUCUAACGCGAUAAAUUCAGAUUUCACUGUAGAGUGGGCAAUACAUGUCUGUUUGAAUGAUUUUCAAGAGAUUGCUUCUCAUCCUAAAGUAAAUACACAUCCACUGAUAGAUUUUACUUUAUUCGAUCCGGUGAUUCAAUUUGCAUUACUAUAUCCUUCGAUUAUCGUUGGAUAUUUGUUAUAAUGCAAAGCAUAGUCUUGAAUGUAUUUUAGAUAACCCCAAAACUCUUUCCAUUGCCAUCCAAUGAGUUUGACUAAGAUUACUCGUGUACAGACUCAAUUUACUAAUAGCACAUGUUGUGUCUGGUCGCAUAUAAUUCAUUAUAUACAACAAACUUCUCGACACUCUUGUGUAGUCCAACUGUAAGUCAUUUUCACCUUCAUUCUCUUAAAGUGCAAAGCUCACGUCUAAUGGAGUCUUGGCAAUAUUGAAGUCCAAAUACUUGAACUUGUCAAGUACUUUUUCAAUGUAAUGAGACUGUUGUCAACCUUUGUGAAGUUCUAUGAAUUCUUAUCUCUAAGAUCACAUCAGCAACUUUGAGGUUUUUUGUAUCAAACUUGCUCUCAAGUAUUUAUUUGAUUGCACUUAUAUCAGAAAUGUAUCUACUUAUGAUCAACAAAUCAUCUACAUACAAACAAAGAAUGACUUUGUGAUUUGGAGUGUCAUUAAUGUAAACACAUUUAUCACAUUCAUUUAUCUUGAAAUCAUUUGUCAACAUGGUUUGAUCAAACUUUGCAUGCCACUGUUUGAGUGCUUGUUUUAGUACGUAAACUGACUUAACAAGUUUGCACACUUUCUUUUCUUUACCAUGAAGCACAAAACCCUCAGGUUGUUCUAUGUAAAUUUCUUCAUUCAAUUCUCCAUUUAAGAAUAUCAUUUUCACAUCCAUUUGAUGGAUUUCAAGAUCAUAUAACGCCGCUAAUGCAACCAACAUCUGAAUGAGCAUUAUCCUUAUUACAGACGAGUAUGUAUCAAAAUAAUCAAGACAUUAUUUUGGUAUAAAGCCUUUCACAACAAGUCUGUCUUGUAUUUGUCAAUAGUACCAUCAACUUUCAUUAUCCUAGAGGAAGAUCAACCAACUUCUAAGUGUGGUUGCUCAAGAUUGAAUCAAUCUCAUUAUUGACUGCCUCAUUUCAAAAGGAUGAGUCCGAAGAUGACAUCGCAUCUUUAAACGUCUAAGGCUCAUUUUUAAGAAGAAAUAUUAUAAAAUUUGAUCCAAAGGGUUGACAUUCUUUGACUUGUACUACGUCUUGGAUUCUCAUAAUUAAGUACAUUCUUGUUUGGUUCAUUUCGAAGUGGUUUAGAACCUUCACAGGACUGCUCAUGUACAGUUUUAUAUGAAUAAAUGUGUUCAAAGAACGCAGUAUUAUCUAAUUCAAAUAUCGCGGUUUCAAUGAUAUCCGGAUGUUUGGAUUUAUGAACCAAAAAUCGACAUACUUUACUACUUUUAGCAUAUCCGAUGAACACAAACUCCACAGUCUUAGAUCUUGUUUUUACCCUUUUAGGCAUAGAAACUUGCACUUUUGUUAGACUCUCCCACACUUUAAAAUAUUUUAAGUUAGGUUUCCUUCCUUUUCAUUUUUCAUAAGAAAUAAAAUGAGUCUUACUAUGGGGCAUUCUAUUGAGUAUUUGAUUUGUUGUAAGGAUAGCUUCCCCCCCCCCCUCCCCCCGCCCCCAAGUUUUGCGGCAAACUUGAAUUAUGAGUGAGGCAUUCAUUAUUUCCUUUAAUGUUUGAUUUUUCUUUUUUACAAUUCCAAUUGAUUGAGUGAAUACGGGGCAGUAAUUUGAUGGACAAUUUCAUUUUUUAAAUAUAUCUCUGCAAAAGGAAAUUCAUACCCUCCACCCCCUAUCACUUCCUAUAGUUUUGAUCUUUUUAUCCAGUUGAUUUUUAACUUCUGUUUAUAUUGCCUAAAUGCGUCUAUUGCUUCACCCGUACAAUUUAGCAAAUAAACAUAAUUAUAUCUUAUGUAAUCGUCAAUAAAAGUUAUAAAAUACUUUUUUCCACCAUGAGAUGAUGUUGACUUCAUAUCAUAAAUGUUUGUAUGAAUUAAGUCUAAGGUAUUGGAAUUUCUUUCAACAGGCUUAUACAGAUGCUUAGCAUACUUUGAUUCCACACAUUUUUGACACUUUGAUUUAUUGCACUCUAGGUUAGGUAAAAAAUUUAAAUUAAUCCGAUUUCACAAGGUUUGUAAUUGAUAUUUCCUAAACGUUCAUGCCACAAUUCAUUUGACUCAAGUACAUAAGAAGAAAUAGAACUUUUAUUGAUUUCAACAGUCAUUACAUAGAUCUUAAAAAGGCAUUCUGUGAGGUAACCUUUACCUACAUACACUUUUCCUUUAGUAAUUACAACUUUAUCAGAAACAAAUACACAUUAAAAUCUAUCUUUGGUCAGAAGUGAAGUAACCAAGUUCUUUCUCAACCCUAGAACAUGAAGGACAAUGUUCAGUGUCACCACUUUGCCUGAUGUCAUCUUUAAAUAAACUCUUCCCGUUCCUUCAACUUUUGUUGUUGCGGACUUACCCGUAAAAAGUAGCAUACGAUGCAAAUAACUCUUUGUUGGCACAUACGUGGCAGGUGGCACCAGAAUCAAUCCACUACUUUUUAGGAUUAUCAACUAAAUUACAUUCUUAAAGCAUAGCGUAUAGAUCAUCCACUUCAUCUUUGGAUUCAGCCAUGUUAGCUUGAUCCUUCUUCUUGUCUUUCUCAAGGGCCCGACAACCUGUCGACAUGUAGCCAACCUUGCCACAAUUAACAUAACUUUUUUUGAAUUUCUUAUUCGAAGGAUUGCUUUGUUGUCCAGACAAUUUCUUUCAUUUCUUUGAUCUGUUAGGGUCAUCCUCCACAAUAUUUGCUCCACUAAUUAUAGAAUUUCCUUUUGACCUCUUCUCGGUUGCUUUGUUUAUCUUCUUUAAUACGUAACUCACUAUGAGGUCUUCAACUGACAUCUCCUUUUUGUUAUGCUUCAAGUAGUUUUUGAAGUCUUUUUACAAAGGUGGUAACUUCUCUAUUAUAGCCGCUACUUGAAAAGCCUCAUUCACAAUCAAACCUACAUCAACGAUUAAUUGAUUAUAAAAAACAAACUUAAUAUAUUCAAUCAAGGUAUUUACUAUGUUCAUACCUUCCGCUAGGAGAUCAUGGAUGAUUACUUGCAGUUCUUGAACUUGAGAGACGAUAGUCUUAUUGUCUAUCAUCUUAAAGUCAAGAAAUCUUACAACAAUGAUUUUUUCAUUCCAGAAUCCCCAGUUUUAUAUUCCUUUUCCAAAGCACCCACAAUUCUUUCGAGAUUUUCAUACUGUUGUACACAUUGUACAAAUCAUCUUGAAGGCCACUUAAUAUAUAGUUCUUACAUAAGAAAUUCAAGUGUUUUCAAGCCUCUAUUACAAUAAAUCAUUCCUUGUCCGGUGUUUCUUCGCCAAUUUUGGGGCGUUUUUAGAGAUGAAUCUUUGAAGACUUAAAGUAGUCAAGUAAAAGAAUAUCUUUUGUUGUCAACAUUUAAAAUCUACACUUGAAAUUUUUUUGAAUUUUUCCGUUGCUGCCAUAGCUGGUGCAACACUUGAACGGUUUGAAAAUAGCAAUAGUUGUUGCUGCAACACUUGUCAUUCCAUCAUUGGCAUGGAGAUAUUCAACAGAUAUUUUUGUUCUCAUAAACAGACAGCCAAUUUAGUAUGUCAGAAUACUAACUAUAAAGUUCUAAAAACUUCAACACCAACUUGUUUCUAGUUUAAAAAUGAAGUUUUUAUGUUCUUUUAAUCGUAAACUGAAUAAAUUUUAACUCAUGAUGAAGUUUUUAUAUCUUCAAAUAACUAGUACGUUCAAACAAAUCCAAAAUAAAGAUUAUAACAUAAAUUACUUAAGAUGGUUAUUUUGCGGAUAUAAAAUCUGUAUAUUUCAAUAUGAACUUCAACACUAAGUUCAAGAUUAACUUCAAGAAUAAAAAUAAAGUUCUAACAACUUCAAACACAAGUUCAAAUGAAUAAUCAAAUAAACAAUUAAAAUGAAGUUCAUAUCAACUUAAAGAAAUUAAGAUGAAGCAGAAAAGCAUAUAGAAUCAAGUCCACCAAAUUCACGGUGUCCUUAAGAAAUUUAUUUUCCUCAAGUACCAGAGGUUAAUGGAAUCUUUCCUUCUUGGAUAAAAUAAUUUACUUCAAAAAAUAGUGGUACCUGAAAUUUUCUGAAACUUCGGACUCAUUCAACGAUUAGAUGAUCACAUGAGAGUUUUUAGAAGAAAAAAAUAUUUUUAAUUCAACUCAAAAAUUGUACCUUUGCCUGAGGAAAAGUUCAGGUAUUUAUAAUCAUAAAGUGUCCCUUCAGAAAGGAAGUAAUGGUUCUCGAACAGAGAUAACUUUUCUAAAAUGUCAUGGCACUUACGCUGGACCUGCGACUGCAGGUGACGUUUUGCACAUUCCAGUGAGGUUUACGCUACACCUGCACCCGCAGGUCACCAGGUGUGCGCGCACGUCAAUUUUUCGCCUGAAACAGCGUGUCUCUUGCCUCGAAGGUUCACAUCCCUUUGAGGUGCAUUGUGAUUGCGUUCGAAAUGUGUCCGCAAAUGGAGAAAAUUACGUCUAUUGAAUUUUUGGAUUAAAACUUCACGUACUUUCAAGUUUUGAAUAAAUCUUAUCAAAAAAUUAAUCUAUCGAUUAUUUGAGAAAUCCAAAUUUGAAUCUGAAGUCGAGCCAAGCGAGCGAUGACAGCAUCACGAGGUAUCUCUUGUUCUUGUCUCACUAUCCACGUGAAGAAAUGUUUCUCAAUAUAAGCACAAGAAAACUUCUUUCUCCCACCAAUGUGGGAGAACUUCCUUCCUUAAUGUGAAAGUUCGCUUCACUUUUCCUUCCAAUUUUUCCCCUUCAUUUUCCAAUCAUAUAUACACUUAAAACCCAAUAGCUUUCACUCUACUUGAGUAGGUAGAUCUUUCUCAGGUAGCAUUUUUUAGUCACAAUGGCCAUGAAGGAUGAUGGGUGACUAAAAAAAAUUUGAUGAAGCUAUCUGGGAAACAGCCCAAGGCUAGCUAUUAAAGUGGGAGAGCUCAAGCAUAUAAGCCCCAUAUUAGCUUCCCAUUUAAUCGAUGAGGGACUCAAUAGAACCAUAACAGAGGCCUUGCAACAAUGGACAUUGUGUAGCCUGACACUUUUGAAGCUAUUUCAUAUAGAUUGAAGCACCAAUGAUUGAAGCAUGUCUAUUUGCUUCUGUAUCAUCAACAGUUUUCACAAGAAUAAUGUCUCUAAAAACUGCUAAAGAAGUAUGGGAUUAUCUUAAUGAAGAGUAUGCUGGAGAUGAGAGAAUAAAAGGUAUGCAAGUUUUAAACUUAAUUAAGGAAUUUGAAUUGCAAAAAAUGAAGGAAUCUGAAACAGUGAAGCAGUAUUCAGAUAAACUUCUUAAUAUUGCAAAUAAAGUGAGGCUACUUGGCUUUAUACUUGCCGACUCAAGAAUUAUUGAGAAGAUUCUGGUAACAGUUCCUGAAAGGUAUGAAGCAACAAUUACGACCUUUGAAAAUAUUAAGGAUUUGUCAAAAAUUAGUUUGACGGAGUUGCUCAAUUCCCUGAAAGCUCAAGAGAAAAGAAGACUCAUGAGACAGGAUGUUACAACAGAAGGGGCUCUAGUCAGUAAGAACCAGGUUGACGAAUUUUCGAAGAAGAAAAAGAAUCAAGCGUUGAGUGAAGGAGAAACAUCAACCAACAACAAAGGUAAGGGAGGAAGUACGAAAAACUUUCCCCCUUGCCAUCACUGUGGAAGAAAAUGCCAUCCACCAUUCAAGUGUUGGAGGAGACCAGAUGCUAAAUGUAAGAAAUCCAAUCAACUUGGACAUGAGGCGGUGAUUUGCAAAAGUAAAGCCCCGCAGCAGGAAGAAAAUGCUCAAGUUGUUGAUCAAGAAAAGGAGGAUCUUUUUUUUGUUGCAACAUGCUUCUCAAGUAAGAUCUCAACAGAUUCUUAAUUAAUUGAUAGUGGGUGCACUAAUCACAUAACUCAUGACAAGAGCCUAUUCAAGGAGUAGAAGCCCACUAAAAUUUUCAAGGUUAGGAUAGGAAAUGGGACCAUCUUCAUGUCAAAGGAAUUGGAACCAUAGCUAUCAAGACUGACACAGGCAUAAAGAAAAUUGCUGAAGUUCUUUAUGUUCCUGAGAUUGAUCAAAACUUGCUAAGUGUAGGACAUCUGAUAGAAAAAGGAUUUAGACUUUUCUUUGAAAAUGAUCACUACCAAAUCAGUAACACUACUGGAAAUGAAAUUUUCAAGGUGAAGAUGAGAGGAAGGAGUUUUUUCUUUAGUCCAACAAAGAAGGAGCAACUUGCUUAUUACAUGAAGGUAGAUGUAACGGAAAUCUGGCACAAGAGACUUGGUCACUGUCAUCUACAAACAUUAUUGUUACUGAAGAAAGAGGAUAUGACAAGAGGACUUUCAACUCUCGUUGAUCACUUACCAAGUUGUCAAGCUUGUCAAUUUGGUAAGCAGAAUAGGAAACCAUUUCCUAAAGCAUCGUGGCGCGCUUCUCCAAGAUUGCAAUUGAUUCACACAGAUGUUGCAGGACCUCAAAGAACACCGUCCUUUAAUGGUAGUCUUUACUAUGUUAUAUUCAUUGAUGACUAUACAAGAUUCUGUUGGAUUUUUUUCAUGAAAUACAAAUCAGAGGUGGCUGGAAUAUUAUGGAAGUUCAAGAAGAUGGUGGAAAAUCAAAGAGGUUGCAGAAUCCAAUCCUUGCGUUCUGAUAAUGGAAAAAGUACUACUCCGUACACUCUGCAACAAAAUGGAGUUAGUGAAAGGAAGAACAGGUAUAUAAUGGAGAUGACGCGGUGCAUGUUGCAUGAAAAAGAGUUGCCAAAAAGGUUUUGGGCUGAGGCAGCUAAUACAGCAGUAUUUCUCCAAAUCGGCUUCCCAGUAAAGCGUUGGAGAGUAAAACUCCAUUUGAGGCUUGGAAUGGAUUCAAACCAUCUCUAACCUUCAUUAAAGUAAUGGUUGUGUUUGUCUCUUUCAUGUGCCGCAGGUUAAAAGAGACAAACUUGAUAAAAGGGCCACCCCGGGAAUCUUUGUGGGUUAUAGCUCAUCCUCCAAAGCCUACAAAAUUUAUGAUCCACAAACAGGGAAGAUGAUUAUUAGUCGAGAUGUGCACUUCAAUGAAGAAGAGAAAUGGGAUUGGAAAAAUAAUCAACUUUCAGUCAAAGCUUCGGAGAAGCAAACAUCCGAUCAAUGGUAAAAUGAGUUAGUAGAUGAUCCUCCAGUUAGAGGUACAAGAUUACUUUUUGACAUCUACCAACAAAGUAAUGUGGCAGUUUGUGAGCCUGCAGGGCACAAGAAUGCGCUUCAAGAUGAAAAAUAGAGAAACGCGAUGGAGCAGGAGAUGCUAAUGAUCAAGAAAAACAACACUUGGGAGUUAGUUGACAGACCGAAAGAUAAAAAGGUCAUUGAAGUAAAAUGGGUAUUUAGAACCAAGCUUAAUUUUGACAGUUCUAUCAACAAAUACAAGGCUAGGCUUGUCGUCAAGGGAUAUGCCCAAAUAUUUGGUGUUGAUUACUCGGAUAUCUUUGCUCCAGUAGCCCAACUAGAUACCAUCAGAAUGUUGCUAGCAAUAGCAGCACAAAAGGGUUGGAAAGUGUUCUAACUAGAUGUCAAAUCUGCUUUUCUAAAUGGUGUAUUGCAGGAAGAAAUCUAUGUAGAGCAGCCCGAGGGUUUCAUUGAGCAAGAAAAAGGAGAAAAAGUUAGUCUGCUUAGAAAGGCUCUUUAUGGCUUAAAACAAGCCCUAAGAGCUUGGUAUAGCAGGAUUGAUGAUCACUUGUUGAGUUUGGGGUUUGUCCGAAGUUACUCUUUAUGUCAAACACAAGGGAACUGAUCUACUUAUUGUUUCCCUUUAUGUUGAUGAUCUCUUGGUGACAGGAAACAAUGUGCGGCCGGUUGAAUAGUUUAAGAAGAAAAUGAUGCAAGUCUUUGAAAUGACAGACCUAGAACUAAUGACAUACUUUCUAGGGAUGGAAAUCAAGCAAGGUUGCAAUGAAAUCUUUAUCUGCCAAAAGAAGUAUGCUAGGGAGAUGCUGAAGAAAUUUCCUAUGGAAAAUUGCAAGGCAACAAGCACACCGAUGAAUCCAAAGGAGAGGUUGAGCAAAGAGGAUGGAACUGAUAGAGUUGAUGAAGGAAACUUCAGAAGCUAGAUUGGAUGCUUGAUGUAUCUCAUUGCUACACGACCCGAUAUUCUAUUUGUUGUAAGUCUUUUGUCUAGGUUUAUGCAUUGUGCUACUAAAAUGCAUUUGCAUACAGCAAAAAGAAUUAUAAGUUACAUCAAAGGUACUGUCGAGUAUGGGGUCAAAUUUAAAAAAGUGUGAGAAUUUCAAGUUGUAUGGAUUCUCAGAUAGUGAUUUGGUCGGAUCCCCUAAUGACAUGAAAAGUACAUCAGGAUAUUGCUUCAGUCUGGGAUCGGGCAUUUUCUCUUGGUGUUCCAAGAAGGAGGAAAAUGUGGCACAGUCCACGGCAGAGGCUGAAUUCAUUGCAGCAACAGCAGCAGUAAAUCAAAUCUUAUGGCUGAGAAAAAUAUUUUCUGAUUUGCAUAUGGAACAAAAGGUUAAUACUGAGAUUCAUGUUGAUAAUCAAGCUGCAAUAGCUAUUUCACAUAAUUCAGUGUUUCACGGGAAGACUAAGCACUUCAACAUCAAGCUUUUUUUCUUGAAGGAUGUGCAGAAAAAAGGAUAAGUGAUUCUUAUUUAUUGCAAAUCCGAAGAUCAGCUUGCAGAUGCAUUUACGAAAUCCCUUCCUGUCAACAAGUUUAAGUUCCUAAGGCAACAACUUGGAAUUUACAGCUCCUAAUGCAAGGAGGAGUAUUAUUAGUUGCUUUAGGACUGCAGAAUUUAUUUAUUUUAUUUCCUGUAUUUCUUUUAUAAGUUAUUAGGAGGUAGUUAGCAUGGUUAGGCACCAUGACUUUAAAGUAGAGCCAUUAUCUAUUUCAAUUUUUUUAAAAAAAUACUUUAUAUAACUACUCUUGGACAGAAAGUAAAUCUCUCUGCACAAGUUUCUCUCUCUCUCUGUGAUCUUCUUCAUUCUCCUGCUUCUUUUCUGUAGUAAUCUAGAUUCUUUUCUGUAGUAAUCUAGAUAUCGUUUGCAUAGUGUUAUGUGCGAUUUGUCUAUUUAAAACUAACACAUAUGAACACAUGGGCGUUUGAGAUCCCUACUCAGUUUAUGGAGUCAUUUCAUGUUUGACAUGCUUACUCUAGGCAGCAACUAAUAUACCAGGAUGUGGAUACGAUUAUGGUCUCAACUCAAGCACAUUCAAGCAACAAGUUUUAAACAAGAGCAACCAAAAACGUGGUACAAGUGUGAAGAGUUCGAAGGGCAUGGAGGAUGCUUAUCCCCUCCAACAUAGCAAAUUGAGUACAGUAGCCCUGCAUUUGUGCCACACCAUUUCAUGGCUUACCCAUCUUUAGCCGUAGGGCAACUUAUUGCUCAAAAGAAAUACGCCUUUAAAUGUUAUGUAUAAUCCUACCUAAAAAGAGAUCUAUUAGUAUGAAUAGUGGCCAAGAGAUAUGAUCCAGGAGCUUUAGUGUAAGAUUCAUCGGAAGCUUUUGGUGGUGAUUUUGAUAUAUUUGAUGAUGAAGAAGCGACUGAAAUAUUGGAUGAAUGCUAUUCUAACGCUAGGACGAAAAUUAUCACCUAGGUAGAAAAGGAGAGGAUUGAAGACACAGAAGACUCAUGAAAAAAAAAAUAAUAGUUAGGAUGGUAAAGUAUUUGAGGAGGUUGUUCUAAUGCACCAUCAAUAAGAGCAACAAACAAAAAGAGACAAGGUUCAACUACAUUACUAAGACCCAAUAGAUCCAAGAAGACCUAGAGAUUUCAAAGCGGUUGCAGGAAGAAGAUAAGGUGAAGAAUCAAACUUUUAUCAGGUUACGUCUCCUUAAAGUUUCACAACUUCAAAGAAACCUGCUUGUCUUUUCCUUUGAGUUUCACUUCAUUAUAUAAAUAAAAAACAAGCCUAAAAAACAAGCCAUGGGCAUCUCGCCUAGGGGAUUUGCUUAAACUAACAAAGAGAUAAAGCUCUUAAACUCUUAUGUGCUGAAAGAUCUCCUUCUAAUAAGAGGAAAUUACUCCAAUACAACUAUGUAAAAAGGUAUUUGAAAAAGUUCUAACUAUUUUCAGAAAAACAAAAAAUACAAUUUAUUUAAAUUUAUAAUUUUUAAAGUAUAUUGUGUAUCGCUUUUUAUAUCUCUAAAAUAGCUCUCCUAAUUAAUAUACAAUAAAUAAGGUAAUACUCUCACAAAUAUAUGUGAUCCCAAGAAUUAAUCUCUUCAUCUUAAUUGUAUAUUUCUGAUUUCCCUUUCUAGUAAUCUUCCUAACUCUUCUUUCUUCCACCUAUUUUAUUAUAUAAUAUCCUAGCUAUAUUCUGUAAAAGAAUGUGCAAGAAACAUAUUGAGUAUCCACUAGAAAAAAGAGAUAAAGGAAUGAUACUCUCAGUCCAUUCGGCAAAAAAGACUUAUCAUUUAAAGUCUAUAUUUUUUUAAAACAUUGGAGAAUCAUGUGCAACGAAUUAAAUCCCUCUAGGCACACUGCUAGGAAUUAAAGGUCUAGGUUUUCUUCUGGGAAUCACAUAAAAUACUAUAACCAUGUCAAAAGCUUUAUUAUGUAGUAUUGGUGAAGUAAGCACACUAAUAACUAGAUGUUAAAUCUUACCCUUAAAAAAAGAUUCUAUCCUCAAACGUGUGACCAAGUGAUCGACAACUUCCCUAGGUAGAGUUAUACAUAUGAGUGUUGGGUUCAAGUUGAAUGUGUGAAUGGAAAAAAUAGAGAGAAAUUGAGAUCACACCUAAAAGCAAAGUGUGCUCACAAUAAGGAAAGUUUACUAAUUCUCCCACAUUGGUGUGGGAGAAAGAAACUUUCAUGUGUUCUUAUUAAGAAACACAACUCCAUAUGGAUAGUGAGGCAAGAAACAAAAGGUGUCUCGCGCCAUCAUCGUUGCUUGGCUCGGCAAAUCAAUCGAUGAGAUUAAUUUUUUAGACAAGUGAACAUACCUUUCCGAUGAACCAUUGCUUCCUUUCCGAAGGGCACUUCAUGGCUAAAAUUUUCUGCAUUGAAAAACUUUCUUUUGCUUCUAAAAACUCUGUGUGAUCAUCUAAUGUUGAGUGUAUUCGCUACUGAUUGUGAACCAUUUUAUCCUGUGAGGAAAAUUUUUUUGAUAGUUCUUCUUGAACUUGUGUUGAAGGUGUUAAAAACUUCAUUAUUGUCCUUGAAAAAAGUCUUGAACUUGUGUUGAAGCUUAGUAUAUAAACAUACAGAUUGUGCACUCGAAACAACAAUGACAUCUUCAAUCUCAAGACAACUCUUAUUAUGAGUGUAUUUGGUUAUAGUCCAUUAGAAUUUGCUACAUGAUAAGAGGGAUACAAACCUACACUAACAUAAUCUGUGAUUUUUACCAAUCCUAGGGUGCUCCCUCAUUCAGUGCAAGGCAAUCACCUAAUGAAAAAGACUGGUAUUUGUGAGCUCCCUGGGUGAAAGGAUAAUCCCACUUUUUUAGCUUAUAUCAUGUCUUGAUGCUUUGCAAAUUAAUGGAGGUUUUAGCUUUACAUCUCCCUCUUUGUAAUCUUUAUUGAUAAUAUGUGUGUGGAUGAACUUAUUUUAAAAAAAAACAUAUUGACAUAAAUUUUCAUUUGUGAGAGAAGGCGACAUGAUCUCUCCUGAAAAAUCAGUUGGUGGAUAUCCUAACCAAGUCUUUCUCCUUGACAAGGUUCCAACUUUUAUGAGACAAACUCAAAGGUGAACGAUCCACCUUCAGUAAUCAUGAAUGAGUUCAAUCUCCAAGUCCAUCUCAAACAUACUCUCUAUUGAUCUUUGUUACGUCUGUCACAUAGUGCUAGCUAAGCAGUGAUGCCUAAACUUUAAGGUAAACUAUCGAAACUUGAUGGGAAGAAAAUCUAAUAGAAGUAUUAAGAAUGAAGUGUUGUUCCGGCGGAUACAAAAAUCUUUAGGUUUCAAACCAAACUUCAAUACUAAGUUCAAGAACAAUUUUCAAGAACUACCAUGAAGUUACAACAACUUCAAACACAAGUCCAAAUAAUAAUCAAAUAAACUAUCAAAAUGAAGUGUUUAUCAGUUUUAAGAAAGAAGAUGAAGUGAAAAUUGUAGAAUCAAGUCUACUGAAUGCACGAUGUCCUUAAGAAAUUUAUUCCCCUCAAGUACCCAAGGUUAUGGAAUCUUUCCUCUCCAGAUAAAAUGAUUCUCUUUAUGAAAAUAGCGGUACCUCAAAUUUUUAUAAACUUCGAACACACUCAAGGAUUUGAUUAUCACAUGAGAAUUUUUAGAAGAAGAAAAAGAUUCUUUUUUCACUCAAAAAAUUGUCUUUACCUGAGGAAAAAUUUAGAUAUUUAUAGCCAUCAAGGUGUUGUUUCAUGAAGAGAAACAAUGGUUCAGAAAGGUGCACUUAUUCAUAAAGGUGCAACUCUUCGUAAAAGGUCAUAACUAUUCAAUCCGAAAAGGUGCCUAUUCAAAAUUGCAUCCUUUUUCUUAGUGUCUUUCCAAAAAAAAAUACCACAUUUUCAUUUUCUAUGCACGCUCUUAAUAACCCAACAAUCCCCCACAUGAAUGGAAAUGGCUAUCUUAUCAAAAAUUUACAAACAAGUAUAUGAUCAACAAGCAAAGACAUAUUACAUCUGGAUAAGUGAGUUUUCCUUUGAACUUUUCGUAGUGAACAUGCAUCGGAUGCACUCGGUCAAUCGGUAGAUUUGAUAUCUUUGAACCGUUGAACUUUAAUGUACACCUAGACAACACAUAUCACACAACCAGUCUUUUAUCAUUUAUGGUUCUCACGAUUUUGUUCAUUUCAGCCAUGAACACGUCCUCGUUUUAUGAGAGUAUAGAUAAUAGGCCUUUACUAACAUUCUCCUUGAAGCGACUUCCACUUCACCCUCACAUAGAUGAUUUCUAAACGUUCAAUCCUAUAAAAUUAAACUAUUUGGUCAAAUCUACCAAAUUUAGAUAACCAUUAAAAAGCUUCACACCAUAAGCUUUAACCUUGUUUCCUAAACAUUGUCUAAAUCAUGAGAAUGAGUUGAGUAUAUUGACAAUGUGAAACCAUUAGUCACAAAUUUAUUUGACCUCCUUCAACCUAGCUCUUGGGAUCUCCAGUCUGCUAGGUAGAUUUACCGCCAUACUGACUUGUCCUAGGCCGUAAAUCCAUUCCCUUCGAUGUUCUCUCAACUCCCUCUAUAUAUAGGCCUUUUGUAAGUAGAUCCGACACAUUAUCCUUUAACUUCACAUAGUCAACAGUGAUAAUUCUACUAGAGAGUAGUUCUAUAACGGCAUUAUAUCUCCGUCUUAUAUGACGAGAUUUACCGUUAUACAUCAUGCUCCCUUUCCUAACAAUCGCCGCUUGACUAUCACAGUGUAUACAUACUGGUGUCAAUGGUUUGGGCCAAUAAUGAAUAUCUUCCAAGAAAUUUUGGAGUCAUUCAGCUUCUUUACCGUUUUAUCUAAUGUGAUAAAUUCAGAUUCCAUUGUAGAGCGGGCAAUACAUGUCUGUUGAAUAAUUUUCGAGAGAUUGCUCCUCUGCCUAAAGUAAAUAUCUACUCAUGAAUUUUACUUCAUUCGAUUCAAUGAUACAAUUUGCAUCACUAUAACAUUCAAUUACCGCUGGAUAUUUAGUAUAAUCCAAAACAUAGUCUUGAGUAUAUUUAAGAUACCCAAAACUCUUUUCACUGUCAUCCAAUGAGUUGCAUUGAGAUUACUCGUGUACCGACUCAAUUUACUAAUAACACACGCUAUGUCUGGCCUUGUACAGUUCAUGAUAUACAUUAAACAUCCCAACACUCUUACGUAAUCCAACUGUGAGUCACUUUCACCUACAUUCUCUUAAAGUGCAAAGCUCACAUCUAAUGGAGUCUUGACAAUACCAAAAUCCAAAUACUUGAACUUGUCAAGUACCUUUUCAAUGUAAUGAGACUGUGACAAUGCCAACCCCUGUGGAGUUUUAUGGAUUCUUAUUCCUAAAAUCACAUCCACAACUCCAAGGUCUUUCAUAUCAAACUUUCUCUGAAGCAUUCGUUUUGUAGUAUUUAUGUCAGAAAUGUCUCUACUUAUGAUCAACAUAUCAUCCACAUACAAACAAACAAUGACCUUGUGGGUUGAAGUGUCUUUAAUGUAAACACAUUUAUCACAUUUAUUUAUAUUAAAUCCGUUUGCCAAUAUGGUUUGGUCAAACUUUGCAUGUCACUGUUUGAGUGCUUUUUUUAGUCCAUAAAGCGACUUAACAAGUUUACACACCUUCUUUUCUUUAUCAGGACCACAAAACCCUCAGGUUGUUCCAUAUAAAUUUCUUCCUCCAAUUCUCCAUUUAGGAAUGUUGUUUUCACAUUCAUUUGAUGGAUUUCAAGACCAUAUGCCGUAGCUAAGGCAACUAACAUCCGAAUUGAUGUUAUCCUUGUUACGGGUGAGUAUGUGUCAAAAUAAUCAAGGCCUUCCUUCUGUUUAAAGUCUUUUACUACAAAUCUUGCCUUGUAUUUGUCAAUUGUACCAUCCGCUUUUAUUUUUCUUUUGAAGAUCCAUUUAGAACCUAAAGGUUUAUUUUCUAGAGGAAGAUCAACCAACUCCCAAGUAUGGUUGCUCAAGAUUAAAUCAAUCUCACUAUUAAUUGUCUUUUUUCAAAAGAAUGAAUCUGAAAACAACAUCGUUUCUUUAAAUAUUUGAGGCUCAUUUCUAGGAGAAAUAUUACCAAAUUCGAUCCAAAUGAAGUUGACGCUCUUUGACGUGUACUACGUCUUGGAUUCUCAUUAUUAUGUACAUUCUUCUUUGGUUCAUCUCGAGGUCGUUUAGACCCUCCACUAAACUAGACAUGUCUAUUUCUAUACGGAUAAAUGUAUUCAAAGAACUCAGCAUUAUCUGAUUCAAUUACUGUAUUUUCAUUCAUAUCUGAUGUUCGAAUUUAUGAACCAAAAAUCGAUAUGCUUUACUACUUUUAGCAUAUCCUAUAAACACGUAGUCCACAGCCUUAGGUCCAAUCUUCACCCUUUUAGGCAUAGGAACUUGGACAUUCGCUAGACACCCCCACACUUUGAAAUAUUUCAAGUUUGGUCUCCUUCCUUUUCAUUUUUCAUAUGAAAUUGAUAGUGUCUUACUAUGGGGCACUCUAUUGAUUAUUCGGUUAGCUGUAAGGAUAGUUUUCCCCCACAAGUUUUUUGGUAAAUCUGAACUUAUAAGUAAGACAUUCAUCAUUUUCUUUAAAGUUUGGUUCUUUCUUUCCACAUUCUCAUUAGAUUGAGGUGAAUACGGGGCAAUAGUUUGCUGGAUAAUUCCACUCUCUACACAUGUUUUUGCAAAAGAAUAUUCAUAUUCUCUACCCCUAUCACUUCUUAUUAUUUUGAUCUUCUUCUCUAACUGAUUUUCAACUUCUAUUUUAUAUUGCCUAAAUGCAUCUAUUGUUCAUCCUUACUAUUUAGCAAAUAGAUAUAACAAUACCUAAUGCAACCGUCAAUGAAAGUUAUAAGAUACUUUUUCCACCACGAGAUGGUGUUGACUUCAUAUCACAAAUGUCUGUAUGGAUCAAGUCUAAGGGAUUGAAAUUCCAUUCAACGAACUUAUACAAAUGCUUAGCAUACAUUGAUUUCAAACACGUUUGACAUUUUGAUUUACUGCACUCAAAGUUAUGCAACCCUUCUAAACUAAUCAGUUUUCCCACGAUUUUAUACUUGUCAUUUCCUAAACGACUAUGCCACAAAUCAUUUGACUCUAGCAAGUAAGAAGAAGCCUCAGUUUUCUUCAUUUCAACAACUAUUACAUAAAGUUUAAAAAGGCCCUCAUUGAGGUAGCCCUUUCCUACAUACGUUUCAUUCUUUCUUAUUACAACUUUCUCCUAAACAAACACACACUUAAACUCAUUUUUAACGAGAAGUAUUGUCGAUACUAAGUUUUUCGUAAUAGUAGGAACAUGGAGAACAUUGUUGAGAGUCAACACCUUGCCGGGAGUCACUUUUGAUAAUAUCUUUCUACUUUCUUCAACCUUGAUUUUUGCAUUAUUUCCCAUAAAGAUCACCUCUUUGGGACCAGUGGGAUCAUAAGUAGCAAAAGUUUCUUUGUCCGCUCAAACAUGUCUAGUGGCUCCUAAAUUAAACCACCAUUCAUUUGGAUAUCCAACAAGAUUACUUUGCAAUGAUCAUAUCAUAUAGAUUUUCAUUCUUUCUAGUUAUUUCUAACAUGUUUAUCCAAUCUCUUUUCUUGUUCUUAUUUCGAAUUUGACUAUUUAGAGCUUUGUGGCCAACAUCACAACAAUAUAGUAAUUGCCUCUGAACAUUUUCUUAUUUUGCUCUUUCUCUUGUCCAGAAGACUUCUUCAUCUUCUUAUUAUUUGGAGCAUCAUCUUUAAUAGAAUUUGCAACCAUUAUUGAAGAUUUUUCAUUCAAUCCAUUAUACUCGUCUAUCUUGGAAUGCCUCACAAGAUCUUUCGAAUCAAACAAUUGAUUUUCAAUCAUAUUUUUCUUUUCUAGAAGAUGAGGAUCUUGUGAACAUUUGCAUCUCAAGUUUGGCCAAAAAAAAUAACAUCAUUUGUUGUCAUUCUUUGAAGUUCACACCAAAAUAUUUUUUUAAUUUCUCUUCCGUUUUUAUUGCUAGAGCAAUACCUGAAUGACUUAAUGAUGCAACAUUAGAUAUCGUGGGACAACACCAUUCACAAUCAAAUCAAUUUAUUGUUCAAUUACAUUCAUCAUUUUUCUGUCAAUCUUUGACAUAUACUCUUUAGUAUUUCAAAAUACUAACAAUAAAGACUUUAAUCUUUAGCCAACUUGUUUCUAAUCAAUGAUAAAGUUCUUAUAUCUUCAAAUUAUCAACCGAAUGAACUUUAAAACAUGACGAAGUUUUUAUGACUUCAAAUCAGAAUCAAAUUCAAACGGAGUGAACCCCCACAUGUUUUAAACUCCAAAAACCAUUAUAAAGAUUUUAAUGAAUCAGUGAAGUUUUAAUAUUCUUCGAAGCGAAUUUUCACAUUGAUUUCUCGAUGAUGUUUUUAUAUUCUUCUAAUCGAGGGAGUAGAAAUCAAAAGAUUUUAGUCUCCACCAAAUUAAACCCAAUGCAGUUAACCAAAUACUUGAUUUAUAAAUGGUGAUAAUUUUUUUCUUUCACCAAACAAAUCAAAAAGAUAAAUAUUUUAAUAAUUUUCUUAAAAUUAUUAUUUUUCUCGGGUUUGGUAAAACCUGUAUUUUCCAACAAUAACUUCAAAUACAGGUUCAAAUUAACAUAUGAACAAUCAAAUGAAAUAUAAACUCCAUAUUUACAACUUUAAAUUUUUAACACUAGGUUCAACCCAACUUAUACACAUCAACAAAAUGAAGUUCAAAAUAUUUUCUGAAAAAUAGCAAAACCAAAUGUUAAGAGCUUCAACACAAGUUCAGCCCACUUAUAACUAUCAAAAUGAAGUUUCAAGAACCUCAAACACAAGUUCAAAAAGUUGAAGCACUAUCAAUAUGAAGUUCAAACUAUUUACUAAAAAACAAUAAACCAAAAACAACACAGAUUAGUAGAAAUUUCUUAAGAUUGUUGUUCCAUCGGGUACAAAAAUAUGUAUGUUUCAAACCAAACUUCAAUACUAAGUUCAAGAACAAUUUUCAAGAACUACUAUGAAGUUACAACAACUUCAAAUACAAUUUCAAAUGAAUAAUCAAAUCAACUAUCAAAAUGAAGUAUUUAUCAACUUUAAGAAAGAAGAUGAAGUAGAAAAUUGUAGAAUCAAGUCCACUAAAUGCACGGUGUGUCCUUAAAGAAUUUAUUUCCUCAAGUAUCCGAGGUUAUGGAAUCUUUUCUCCCAGGAUAAAAUGAUUCUCUUUCUGAAAAUAGUUGUACCUCAAAUUUUAACACACUAACAUUUUCAUGAUCACACAAGAGUUUUUAGAAGAAGAAUUAUAGUAUUAUUUUUUCACUCAAACAAUUGUCAGAAAAAAUUCAGGUAUUUAUAGUCAUCAAGGUGUUGUUUCAUGAAGAGAAGCAAUGGUUCAACUAGGUACAUCACUUAAUAAAGGUGCAACUCUUCAGAAAAGAUCACAACCAUUGAAAAGAUCAUAAUCAUUCAAUCCGAAAAAAUGCCUAUUCAAAUUGCAUCUUUUCUCUUAGUGUCUUUCCAAAAAAAAUACACCACCUUUUCAUUUUCUAUUCAUGCCUCUUAAUAACCCAACAUGAAUACACUCUUAGGUUGGUCAGAGAUAAAGAAACAAACAUAUUUUGAAGGUAGUAGAAAGUUCCCAUAUAUCUUCAAUUUCAUAUAUAUUUAUUGCUUAUUUAUUUGGUGUAUUGUUAAUAUUGUAUGUUCUUUUAGGGGUUCAAUUAAGAGAGAAGGAAUUUAUCCAUCACAUAAUAUCCUUUGGUGGUGUAGUAAUGUUAAAUAUUGCAUACAUGAUACGAUGCAUUAUUGUUUUUUUUGGUCCUACACUUUCAUCACCCAAGUUGCUUCGACUUUCUAAAAGUUUUAUUGCACUCGUGUUGGAUCCUCCAAAAAUGUCUUACUUUUGAAGAAUCCAGCAUACAUUUAAUAACAUUUUUAAAGAGUCCGAGCAACAUAGUUCAUCACUCUUUUGAGUGUUACUAUGAAUAAACAUCUUUAAUUAUUAAAAAAAAAAAAUCGAAAAAAAAAUGUUAGUAUACAAGUUUAGUACAAAAUUUGUUCAAAUAAUGAAGUUGAGCCAAAGGUGAAGAUGGAAAAGCAUUUGGUUUUAGGCUCCCAAAAUAUUAUGGCCCAAAUAUUUUUAACGGUUAAUUUAAUACUUUUAUUUUCAUUUAAAAUAAUAUUAAAAACGGUAAAAAAAAAAAAAAGGUUCAAGAUUUUGUGUAAAACAAAAUAAAAUUAUCUUUUAUCGAAAAUAUUUUAGAACUUUCAAUUAAAUAACUCAAAAUCUUCUUAUUUUAAAUUAAAUUUCCACAACAGCAUCCAAGAUAAUGUAUUGCAAAUACAUCACUUACAUCUUAACUGCUAGUUUUAUAUUAUUAUGCGAGUUUAGCUAAAAGUUUGAUGUCAUUAAGAACAAUAUAUUAAAGCCAACUAUACAAAAAUAAAAAAGAUAACUGUAAAUUGUAUAAUCGCACCGAAACUAAGCCUAUAGCAACUAUUACUAACUCGAAAAAAGAAAACACUUAACAUUUUGGUAUUGACCAGAAUUGAAACUCGAAAUUUCAUAAUUCUCGUUAUGUAUUUGACCAUCAUUAGGCCAACACUUUGAAUCUUUCUCGAUUAAAUGACACUUUUAUCUUUAUCCGAUUAAGAUGAUUUUGAAUUUUUUUUACACUAGCUAGUGUUCAAUCAAGAUUUUACCACUUAACUUAGAAAAAAGUUCGAAAUUACAAGAUCACCAAAAACAACAACAAAAGAACCUAUUGUCAAAACAUUCUUCGCAUGCCCCAAAUAGUACUUGGUAGGUUGCGACAACGCCUCCAAACGUUUGGAUUGGUACGCGCAUGCGCAGGGGUGACAGAGCAGUGACACUAAGAAAACACAAGAGAAUACCAAUGAGCAUUGCUAGCAAAUGCAGUGGCCGAAAAUCAAAAUGAAUUGCAAAAUAUAAAAAUAACAUAGUAUGAACAAAACACAAUGAAAAAAAAAAAAAAGUAUAAAUUUUAAAUCCAUCCUUAUUAGAUAAUUAUAAAUAAAUCUUUUUUGUUACAAUAAUAAUUUAUGUGUUGUCACAUAAUAAAAUUCAUUGAUAGAGAAAAAAAACAUUUACAUUAUCAAUUUACAUGAGAAAUUAAAUCAAGAUAAUAUUGCCAGAACAAUAAUGAAACUCAACAUGGAAACCCAAACAUGGUCGACUGUCAGUCUAAUUAACGAAAGAGUGACAAGAGAGUUGUUCGAAUGCUAAAACCCUGCCCCUCCAAUUUUAAAAUUGUAUACUAAUGACAUUAGUCGUUAGUAAGAAAUAUGAACACACUUAAAUUAUACACUCACAAGUGAAUUUUGAAAUCAUACCCCAAAACAAUAAGAUAAUGAGUAGUUUAAGACCUUAAUAAGUCUAUUUAGUGUGAGAAUGAAUUUAUGUUGACUCAAAUGUCAUCUAAAUAAUUGAAUCCGAUUUUUUUUUUCCAUUGUCUCUAUUUUUCCAAGUUCUUAUUUGGAUGGCCGGAGAACACAUUCCCAUUUUAAGGACCUUUUUUCGCUAUAAAUUUUCCAAGUAGUUUUGGGGGAAAAACUUGACAUAUAGUGUUUGGUCAUACAAUUUGUUAUUAUUUGGCAAAUUCUUUUGCAAAUAAUGCAAAUUCUAAAAUACUAGAAAAAACUAGUAUUUGGGCCAAACUUCAUUUUUUGGGAAUUUUUAAAGUUACGAUAUGUUUCUCAAAUACUAUGGCCAAACACAUGGUGAAACUUCACUCAAAUCUUAACCUAAAAAUGACUUGCCAGAAAUAUUUGGAAAACUAUGACGCUUAGCUAAGGCGAGGGGUGGAAUAGCUUGAAACAACAUAUGUUACGUUGCUUGAACUUCCCAAAAUGUUAUUGAAUUUGUCUUGGAUCCUCCAGAAAUGCAAUACUUUUGAAGGAUCCAACACACAGCCGACAAUAUUUUUAUAGCGUUCGAGCAACAAAAAAAAGAACUAUAUAUAACCCAAAGGUGAAGAGAGCAGUUUAUGUAUGUAAACAAAAUUAGCAUGCAUAUAACAUUGGCACAAACUAAACUAUUCUCGCAACUUAUCUUCUGAAAUGUUUUCUUAUCUAAAAUCUUCAUAUUCUCUUACUCCUAUCUCUGUGAAAUUGCAUUUUUAGUUUUGUGUAUGUAGUCAUAUACCUCAUAAUUUAUUUGCAUCUUCAGAUGUAAAGGUUCGUCGCAUUUAUUUGUAGUGAUAUGAGGAAAUCACUACAAACUAUUCAACUGGAUCACUAAUUCCACUUUAGUAAAACUUCAGUAGAAAAAGAAAUUUAGCCGCAUUUAUUGUAACGACCCAUUUCAUCGUUAUUAAAUUAUCCAUAAUAAAUUCAUGAAAAUUCAUUUCUCAAUAUUAACAUGGAUCCAAAAUAGCAAAUAUUUUAUUUGUUAUGUCACCUCAAAUUUUUCGGUGAAAAUUUUAGCCUUCGGAUAUGUUUAGAUAGACUUAAAUUCAAUGAAUUUAAUUAUGAGUUUUAAUAUCAAUACUUUAGUUUCAAAGUUCUUUAGGAUUAAUUAAGGUUGUACAAUAUCCUAACACAUAGUUAAGUUUAUAACUUUCUUUCCGAUACAAGUUUCGAUAUGGGUUUUCUAUUAGCGCUAACUUCAAACGACCAUAUCUCCUAUAAUAUAAGGAGUUAGGGGUCUCACUACCUACCAAAUCAAAGAUCUCUAAGUCCUCUUUCCAACGCAACAAACCGUUCCUCAAUCCGAAUUAGGCGCAAAAAGUUAUGGUUGUUUUAGUGAGCAAUGUCCGAGCUAAAAUGAGAUUUCGUUGUAGUGAAAAUUCUAAUCAUAUUUAAAUCAGCUUUAGACGUAUUUUAGGUCCAAAAACCUCAAAUUUCAUUCUCCAACCCUAGAAAGGUGAUUUCCCAAAGCUUAAGAUGAAAUUUCUCUGUUGAGGUAAGUUUUUCCAUUAUUUUUCUUCGUCUUUUAAUUCUUUAGCAUCUUAGAAUCCUUAAAAAGACCUUUAAUGGUGGAAUUCUUUUGAGAAUACUCAUGGGUAUUUUUAAUAUGGCUUAGAGCUGAUUCUAAACUAUAAAUUAAAGAGUCCUAACAUUAAUUUCAUAAAUUAGAUUAUAAAUUUCAUAAACUAGAUUAUGAAUUUUGAUGGUUAAGAACCUUGAAUUCCGUCAAAAUAAGACCUUUAGUAUAAAAACUUCAUUAAUGGAGAUGGAUUAAGCUUGAAAUAGCUAAUUAAUAAUUAAUUGAAUUUGGGGGUGAUAUCGGCCUUGAAUUAAGGGUAGAAUUAGUGGUUUGAAUCACCAAGAUAUUUGAUUGAAGAGUAAUUACUUAUUACUCUUAUAUAUAAUUGCUUAAUUUUUAGAUGAUUGAUAUUUCCAAAGCAUGAAGGAAAGAAAAGAGCAUCUUUGUUGCAGCUUAUUUCUUCUAAAAGUUUGGCGUCCAGGUAGGAUAGGUUUAACGAAUAGAAGAUUGUGUUAUUUUAUAUUUUUAUAAUUUAGAAUUGAUGGGAUAAAGCAUGUCUAGGCCUACGGGUAUGGAGUUGGGGUGGAUAAAGACACAAGGACUUAACUUUAAUCCCAAAAAAUCAAGAUUAUGUGAUAUUUAUGAUCUUAUGUAUUAUGUGCCCGAAAGGAGAUUGUUGUAAAUGUAAUAUAUGAACAUGAUAUUUUUUUUAGUUGUUCUAGUGAUGAACCUAGUUGAGUUAUAAUGGUAUUUAGUUGUAUGUAUGGUGCAUUAAUAUGAUGAGGAGAAUUAUGCUAAUAUUGAAUAUUGAUGAGCAUAGUAAUAUCUAAGGGAUAAAUGACUUGAAUUAGUGUGAUGAUUGCAUUAUGUAAAAAGAGGUAAAGGAUAAUGAUAUGCGUGAAUGUGCUAGUUAUAGGUGGUGAAGUUAGAACUCAAGUUGCAGUAUUUAAGAAGGUAAUGAUAUUUUUAAUAAUUAAUGAGUAAUUAAGGCUCCAACAGUGACUUGUAUACUUAAGCAUUAAAUUGUUAUUUAUUUUAUAAUAUUCUUGUGUUGGUAUUGAUAAAAGUACUAUAUCUAUUGGAUGCCCAUGAGAGGCUAAAUUAGUGAUAAUGAUGGUUUAUUGAAUUGUCCCUAUGAAUGGCUUGUUUGAUAACAAUAAUUCCUUAAAGUAAUGUUAUGAAUGGCUUGUGGAUAAUCAUGAUGAAUUAUUGAAAUAAUGCCCGUGAGGGGGAUAAAAUAUUGAUAAAUGAAAGUACUUGAUCAAAUUUCUUUAUGAUUUUAAGUACACGUAUAGAUUUGGUAUGUCGUAUUGCAUCCCGAAAGAUUGUGUGAAUUUAAUAAAAUGUAUAUAAUAGGUUAUGGUUUAAUUGGAGUUUAAACUCGACUUAAUUGUGUGUAUGCUCCUAAAUUGAAUACUUGUUGAUUAGUAUUCGAGCAUGCUAGAAAUUGUUGAUGUUUGAAUUGUUGAUGCGUGUAUAAAUGAUUAUUAAAAUUUACUUGAUGAAAUUGUCUUAUUACUUUAAGUAUACUUGUAAACUUGGUACAUCGUAUUGUAUGCUGUGAGGUUGUGUAAAUUUGAUAUUGUUAUUAUUUGUAUAUGUUGGAUUGGGUGCCACGCCGGUACGGAUAUGUAUAUGUUGAAUCGGGUAUCACGCCGGUACGGAUAUGUAUAUAUUGGAUCGGGUACCACGCCGGUACGGAUAUGUAUAUAUUGGAUCGGGUACCACGCCGGUACAGAUAUGUAUAUAUUGGAUCGGGUACCACGCUGGUACGGAUAUGUAUAUGAUGGAUCGGGUACCGCGCCAAUACGAAUAUGUAUAUGUUGGAUCGGGUACCACGCCGGUACGGUACAUGAACAUGGAUCGUUCCCUGCAGAUCAUGACCAUUUGAGCAAAAAUAAGUCUCAUAGCAUAUGUGUACAUAUUUGUGUUGAGUCUGUGGAUGUUUAUGGUAUGGUUGAUACUCUUGAUGGUUAUGUGGCUUGAUUGUGAGCCUGUUUGAUCUGUUAUUGUUGUAUUGUUGAUUCAUUAAGUAUUUGAUUGUGUAAUAUGUAUUUGAAAAAGUAAAAUUUUGUACUUACUCGUAUGUUGGUUGACUUGAUUCAUUUAUACGUGUUUUAAUUGUAGCUUAUCAGAAUGGCUAGUUAUCAUUCUUUAAUAAGAGAACAUUUGGUUGUUAGCUCGAGAGUUUAGUGUGGAUUGUCUAUGAUUACGGAUUUAUUCUUGUGAAUAUGAAUAAUGAAAAAGAUAAAGUGAAUAAAGAGGAAUGGUGAUGUAUUAGGUUGGAUUAUGGUGUGAAUUAACAAGGUUAGAAUAUGUUAGUAGCGAAUAUAAUGCUGAUGGAGUUGGAAGAGUAGUUGGAUGAUGUAACUUAUAUAGGUAAAGUAAUAAUAUUAUUACAACCUUAGUUGAAUUAUAUUUCAUUCAAGAUGUCAUGAUUUUUCCUUAAUUAUAUUUUAUGAUUAUAUGAACUAAUACGGUCGGCCGAUGAUGCCUACCAGUAUGUGUGGUUGUACUGACCCUACUCUUCUACAUUCCUUCUUGGAGUGUAGAUUGGAUGCAGGUUAAUUUGCAGUUAUUAGAUGGAUUACAAUAUUCAACACUAACUUCUGCACUUUCUUCCUGGUAGAUGUUAGAGUAUUUGUAUUAUUUAUUUUAUUGUCAGUCUAUGCUAUAGUAUAUAGCUCUUGUAUAUGUCUAGCCAAGUCUUGAAGAGUGAAG